RNAcentral lists this ribosomal RNA (468 nucleotides) under uncultured bacterium. Its description in RNAcentral is "partial 16S ribosomal RNA". It matches the Rfam family "Bacterial small subunit ribosomal RNA", at positions 28 to 507 of the family's 1533-position model. The record is from RNAcentral.
GACGAACGCUGGCGGCGUGCUUAACACAUGCAAGUCGAACGGAAAGGCCCUGCUUUUGUGGGGUGCUCGAGUGGCGAACGGGUGAGUAACACGUGAGUAACCUGCCCUUGACUUUGGGAUAACUUCAGGAAACUGGGGCUAAUACCGGAUAGGAGCUCCUGCUGCAUGGUGGGGGUUGGAAAGUUUCGGCGGUUGGGGAUGGACUCGCGGCCUAUCAGCUUGUUGGUGGGGUAGUGGCUUACCAAGGCUUUGACGGGUAGCCGGCCUGAGAGGGUGACCGGCCACAUUGGGACUGAGAUACGGGCCAGACUCCUACGGGAGGCAGCAGUGGGGAAUAUUGCACAAUGGGCGGAAGCCUGAUGCAGCAACGCCGCGUGCGGGAUGACGGCCUUCGGGUUGUAAACCGCUUUCGCCUGUGACGAAGCGUGAGUGACGGUAAUGGGUAAAGAAGCACCGGCUAACUACGUG